UACGUAGGGGGCAAGCGUUGUCCGGAUUUAUUGGGCGUAAAGAGCGUGUAGGCGGCCAGGUAGGUCCGUUGUGAAAACUCGAGGCUCAACCUCGAGACGUCGGCGGAAACCAUCUGGCUAGAGUCCGGAAGAGGAGAGUGGAAUUCCCGGUGUAGCGGUGAAAUGCGCAGAUAUCGGGAAGAACACCCGUGGCUAAGGCGGCUCUCUAGUACGGUACUGACGCUGAGACGCGAAAGCGUGGGGAGCGAACAGG
RNAcentral lists this ribosomal RNA (253 nucleotides) under uncultured bacterium. RNAcentral's name for it is "partial 16S ribosomal RNA". It matches the Rfam family "Bacterial small subunit ribosomal RNA", at positions 524 to 776 of the family's 1533-position model. The record is from RNAcentral.